UCAGCUAUCUACAACCUAUUCUGAGCUUGAAAUGGGUGGAAAUGAGGGUGGUGAGAUUAUAUAAUCCCAGUGAGUAAACAAACACCAUCCAAAAUAUCUAAAGUCGAGUAAAUGGAGACGAUUACAAUAUUCCAUCUUAAUAUGUAAUUCAUAACAUAAAUAUUCAUUUCAUUUAAAUAAUCAACAUGGCUUAUGAGUAUCUUAAAAGCUUGGCUCUUGCCAAAAUCAUUCUCGAGAAUACCUUGGCCGAGGUAUCUAAUCGAGUCUGCCAAGGCUGUUAAAAAUUUCGUAUACACGUAAACAUACUUUUAGUUUGAAAAACACAGCCGUUCCUUGGCGUUAGCGGAGUUCAUCAUCACGAGGUGGUUCGGCGUGACGUGAACUCUAACCAUACCUCAGGAGAUACCCUACGUGCCUCUCCGACUGAGGUACGUAUAUAAUCAGAUUUUGUGCCCCUCUAAUAGGUUGGUCCACAGAACCCGCCCACUGCAACAAGCUAAACCCACCAUACAAUAAAAAUUUAACAGCAUGACAUGGCAAUUUUAUCAUUAUCCAGCCUAUCAAGGUAAACAACAGUUUAUACAUUUUCAACACAAAUACCAUUUCAGCCAUUCAUGCCAAUAUUGCCAUAAGCCAAUCAAUUAGAACCAUAAAUUCACAAUACAUCAAAUGGUCUCCAAUUACUCUAUUUUCAAAGCCAUCAUUCAAUUUCAAGACAAUUUAUAAAAUCAUUUCAUUUAAAUACAUUUUGUUUAUAAAACCUAAAAAUUAACCAUCUAAACUCAUUUUCCAUAACAUUCACAAAAUCGAAUAAAAAGACCACUUUAGAUAAUUAAAAUGAUGAUAAGGUUACUCACUAUUUCGGGAGUCAAAUUUUUAUAGUACUCCGACUAUCGAUCCUCCAGUACAAUUUCUUUGCCCUUAUCGAAGGAUUCACCACCUAAACAUAAUGUACAAUCAAGCAAUUUACCACAUUGGUGCUAAACCGUUAUAAAACUAUAUGGAUGCAUGAAAUGGAAUGCAAAUUGUUCGGAUUAUCAUCUAAACACGGUGUUCUACACAAAUUCAAUUGUGUACCUAAAUAAAACGGUAUUGGCCUAAUUCGAUCUAUCACUCGAUUAAUUGGCCAAUAUGCCCAAUUCAACUCCAAUUAACUCCAUUUUUCUUCCAAUUCUCCAAACCAUCAAACACAAGUCAAAUAGCAUAAAAUUUAGUAAAAUCAUCUUCACAUUUUCUCUUGGAAAUUUCGGCCAUGGUGGGUGCAUCAACACUAUGAUUUUUCCUACUUGAUUUUCUCACCAUAAUUCAUCAUUUCCUAACCAAUUCACUUGAAAUAAAAUCAAAUCCACCAUCCACACUCUACAUGGAAAAUUCGGCCAAUGAUGGGUAAUGGGAGGAAGUGAAUUUUUCUUGUUGGCUUUUCAUGCUACACAUCACUAACUAUCUAAAAACACUAAAAUACAUUGAAAUAUAAUCAAAUCAAGCAUCAAACCCUCCCUCUAAGUGUUCGGCCAGCAAGGGAUUCAUCAUGAAAUCAUGUGAUUCAACCAUGGAAAAUGCAAAAGAAUGUAUGGGAAAGGUAGAUCACAAGUCAAAAUCAAGAAAUUUUACCUUUAAUUGCUUGAUUAUUGAAAUCCACCAAUUUUCUCUUGAAUUUUCACUCUAGGGUUUUUGUUCUUUCUUUUCUUCCUUUGUUCUUG
RNAcentral lists this long non-coding RNA (1700 nucleotides) under Theobroma cacao (cacao). RNAcentral describes it as "long non-coding RNA (TCAC_LNC000931)". Lineage: Eukaryota; Viridiplantae; Streptophyta; Magnoliopsida; Malvales; Malvaceae. The record is from RNAcentral.